Passer domesticus (house sparrow) is the source of this 736-nucleotide long non-coding RNA. RefSeq lists it as uncharacterized. The record is from RefSeq and is a predicted model, not a curated record. The transcript is spliced from 2 exons. NCBI's taxonomy places the organism in Eukaryota, Metazoa, Chordata, Aves, Passeriformes, Passeridae.
CGCUCCCGCCGCCCCCUCACGCCGCCGAGGCCCCGCGCUCCCGCUGUUCCAAGGUUUCCUCAGCAAAGCCUGCCCCGGGAGCGGCUGCCGCUGCAGUGCCCGCUCCGUGUCUGCAGCUCCUUCCUCGCUGUGUCCCACACCCGCCCUGCUGCGGUUUGCUCGCUGUUACACCGAUCUCACAUAAAGGCGAGGGCGAAGGUGUGCGGAGCUCCAGGCUGGAGCCUCGCCCCGGUCCCUGGGAAGGCGGCGGAGCCAGUAACCCCUGGAGCCGUUUGCAAACACAGCGACGACACGGAGAUGUCUGGGAUCUGUCAGCACAGGUUGCAAAGGGCUUCCAUCCCUGAUGCCUUCUGCGUGGAAAGUACUAGAACGGUAGAUUCAGAUUAGAGGGAGCGUGCAAAGAAGAAGGAGCCAGGUUCUUCCCAGUGGUGCCCAGUGCCAGGAGCAGAGGCCAUGGGCACACUCUGAUCCACAUCAGGAAAUAGCUUUUCCCUGUGAUGGUAACCAGAGGCUGGCUCAGGUUUCCCGGGGUGGCUGUGGAGUCUCCAACCUUGGAGGUGUUCAAAACCAGCUGGGAUUUUCUGAACAGCCAGCAUUAGCUGCCCCAGCUCGAGGCUGGACCAGAUGACCUCAGGAGUUCUUUUCCAACUUCAAGAUUCUGAGAUGCUGUGAAGCAUUUUGUAUCAAGGUGUGGAUAUGCGCACUCCUAUCAUAAUAAAUAAACAGUAUUUCUUGA